Long non-coding RNA from Macaca mulatta (Rhesus monkey), 1889 nucleotides. Lineage: Eukaryota; Metazoa; Chordata; Mammalia; Primates; Cercopithecidae. The record is from Ensembl.
AUGCCACCAUGCCCGGCUAAUUUUUUGUAUCUUAAUAGAGACCGGGUUUCACCAUGGUGGCCAGGAUGGUCACAAUCUCCUGACCUCAUAAUCCGCCUGCCUCGGCCUCCCAAAGUGUUGGAUUACAGCGUAAGCCACCACGCCCAGCCGUGUUCCAUACUUAUAGAGGGAGGCAGGCAAGACAAAAGGAGCUUUGGGCAGCCACGCAAGGUCAUACAGCUUCCCACGGCAGAGCUGGAACAGAGCAUGGUCCCUGCAUGUGGCUGGUGGCCUCUACUCUCCUCCAUGGUCCUGAUGAAACAAGCAGUUGUCUGUGCAAACCAGAGCGGCCUCAUCAUCCAGGAGUGUGACUCCACUGCUCAGGGCUGUUUGAACUUGGGUACCGCCUCAUCAGUAAAGUGGAGUUGUUCUGAAGAUGAAAAGGAUCAGCUACAUAAAUGUGUUUGAGAGUAACCUGAGAAGUGUCAGGGUGACUACAGCUAUAUCCAGCAUGUUCAAGAUCUUGCCUCCUCAUCAAGAGAUAUUACCCACGUCUUUGACUCAUUCAUUUCAUCAAUCACUUAUUCAGUCUACAAUUUCAUUGUUGUGUCAUGCACAUAAUAAACACUUCCCUUGAAAUCAUAGCUUUCACUUUCUUCCAGUGCUCAGUUCUAAAUUCAUUGCCUCCUCCCCAUUGCUGGGGAUCCCUUAAUCAGCUUUAUGGAGACUGUUGCUCUUCUGCACAUUGACCUGCAUAGAGGAGGCCCAAUGGCAGGACUAGCUGGAGUCCAUCCCCUUGUCUUGCCACGUGGGUCUGGCCAUUGAAUUUUCAUUGCACAAGGGAUCUAUUUCUGCCAAUUUUGCUCAGGGUGCCAGAAUGUCUGCUACACAAAUAGAAUUUGCUCAGAUGUCUAAAGUUGACCGUACGUGGUUAAGAACCUUCAUUCAUUUAACACAUAUUUUUGGUGCCUCCCACGUACUAAGCACUUCAUAACAUGUGACUUUUUGUGCUGAAACUUAAGCAACAGAGAAUCCACAAGAAUGCCUGUACUUCUGAGAUCUACACACCAGCAGGGUCUUCAAAAUAAAAAAAUAGGACAAUGGCACCAAUGACACCAUAGACUUUGAAUCUCCCUAAACCCUUCUAGGAAAAUGGGCAAAGCGACUAGGGUAGAAAAACAAAAUAUUCUUAGGUACAACAAAAUCAGAAGGAGGAAUCCCAUGAACCCCAAAAUAUGAGUGGGUGAAGUAGCCCAGAGACCCUCAAAACCACCAAAAGUGCUGACGGGAACCAUGACAGGCCAAAAUGUGAGAGGAGCAGAGAAGCUGGGAGGGAUCUCGGCAGACCCUGAAUUGAGGUUAGGACACCCUAGGCAGUCUAGACCUGAUAGCUCCUGAAACUAACCAGUGGGGACGUCUUUUCAGGACAAACCCCACACAGAGGAGGAACUACAAACUAAGGCUUCACACUGCAAAAUACAAAAAUUAGCCAGGCAUGGUGACACACACCUGUCAUCCCAGCUACUCAAGAGGCUGAGGCAGGAGAAUUACUUGAACCCGGGAGGUGGAGGCUACAGUGAGUAGAGAUGGCACCACUGCACUCCAGCCUGGGCGACAGAGUAAGACUCUGUCUCAAAAAUAAAUAAAUAAAUAAAUAUAAAAUAAAAUAAAAUUGAAUUUUAAAAUGGAGCCUCUUAGUUGCAUUAGCCACAUUUCAAAUGCUUGGCUAGUAGCUUCUGCUAUAUGGUGACUGCAUUGGACAAUGCAGAUGUAGAACAAUCCCAUUAUUACAGAGUUCUGCUGGACAGUGCUGAAGUUACAUGGUGUAUUAGUCUGUUCUCACCCUGCUAUAAAUAAAUACCUGAGACUGGGUAAUUCAUGAAGAAAAGAGGUUUAAUUGGCUCACAGUU